RNAcentral lists this ribosomal RNA (68 nucleotides) under Pieris rapae (cabbage white). RNAcentral's name for it is "partial 5.8S ribosomal RNA". The stretch from base 12 to 68 matches the Rfam family "5.8S ribosomal RNA", at positions 1 to 57 of the family's 154-position model. Rfam says of the family: 5.8S ribosomal RNA (5.8S rRNA) is a component of the large subunit of the eukaryotic ribosome. The record is from RNAcentral. Lineage: Eukaryota; Metazoa; Arthropoda; Insecta; Lepidoptera; Pieridae.
AACAAAACGAUUACCCUGAACGGUGGAUCACUUGGCUUGCGGGUCGAUGAAGAACGCAGUUAACUGCG